RNAcentral lists this ribosomal RNA (33 nucleotides) under Oryza sativa Japonica Group (Japanese rice). RNAcentral describes it as "18S ribosomal RNA". Lineage: Eukaryota; Viridiplantae; Streptophyta; Magnoliopsida; Poales; Poaceae. The record is from RNAcentral.
UCAUAUGCUUGUCUCAAAGAUUAAGCCAUGCAU